UACGGAGGGUGCAAGCGUUACUCGGAAUCACUGGGCGUAAAGCGCUCGUAGGUAGUGUGACAAGUCAAGGGUGAAAUCCCCGUGCUCAACAUGGGAACUGCCUUUGAAACUGUUAUACUUGAGUGUGUGAGAGGAUAGUGGAAUUCCAGGUGUAGGAGUGAAAUCCGUAGAUAUCUGGAGGAACAUCAGUGGCGAAGGCGACUAUCUGGCACAUAACUGACGCUGAGGUGCGAAAGCGUGGGGAGCAAACAGG
This 253-nucleotide ribosomal RNA is filed under the name uncultured bacterium. Its description in RNAcentral is "partial 16S ribosomal RNA". It matches the Rfam family "Bacterial small subunit ribosomal RNA", at positions 524 to 776 of the family's 1533-position model. The record is from RNAcentral.